UACGGAGGGUGCAAGCGUUGUCCGGAAUCAUUGGGCGUAAAGAGUUCGUAGGUGGUUUGUUAAGUUAGGUGUUAAAUUCCGAGGCUCAACUUCGGUACGGCACUUGAUACUGGCAGACUUGAAUGCGGUAGAGGUAAAGGGAAUUCCUGGUGUAGCGGUGAAAUGCGUAGAUAUCAGGAGGAACAUCGGUGGCGUAAGCGCUUUACUGGGCCGUUAUUGACACUGAGGAACGAAAGCCGGGGUAGCAAAU
This 250-nucleotide ribosomal RNA is filed under the name uncultured prokaryote. Its description in RNAcentral is "partial 16S ribosomal RNA". It matches the Rfam family "Bacterial small subunit ribosomal RNA", at positions 524 to 773 of the family's 1533-position model. The record is from RNAcentral.